RNAcentral lists this ribosomal RNA (209 nucleotides) under uncultured bacterium. RNAcentral describes it as "partial 16S ribosomal RNA". It matches the Rfam family "Bacterial small subunit ribosomal RNA", at positions 1292 to 1500 of the family's 1533-position model. The record is from RNAcentral.
UUCGGAUUGUAGUCUGCAACUCGACUACAUGAAGCUGGAAUCGCUAGUAAUCGCGAAUCAGCAUGUCGCGGUGAAUACGUUCCCGGGUCUUGUACACACCGCCCGUCACACCAUGGGAGUCGGUAAUGCCCGAAGUCAGUGACCCAACCGGAAGGAGGGAGCUGCCGAAGGCGGGACUGGUAACUGGGGUGAAGUCGUAACAAGGUACC